Molecule: ribosomal RNA, 314 nt
Filed under: uncultured Chytridiomycota
Lineage: Eukaryota; Fungi; Chytridiomycota
Description: partial large subunit ribosomal RNA
Rfam family: Eukaryotic large subunit ribosomal RNA
Source: RNAcentral
AUAUCAAUAAGCGGAGGAAAAGAAACUAACAAGGAUUCCCCUAGUAACGGCGAGUGAAGCGGGAACAGCUCAAAUUUGAAAUCUCACAGGUUCCCUGUGCGAGUUGUAGUUUAAAGAAAUGUUUUUGGAGGCGGCCCAAGCCUAAGUUCUUUGGAACAAGGCAUCACAGAGGGUGAGAAUCCCGUAAGUGGUUUGGCGCUGUCUCUAUGUGAUACAUUUUCAAAGAGUCGGGUUGUUUUGGGAAUGCAGCCCAAAAUGGGUGGUAAAUACCAUCUAAAGCUAAAUAUUGGCGAGAGACCGAUAGCGCACAAGUA